Molecule: ribosomal RNA, 467 nt
Filed under: uncultured bacterium
Lineage: Bacteria
Description: bacterial SSU rRNA
Rfam family: Bacterial small subunit ribosomal RNA
Source: RNAcentral
GUACGGAAGGCAGCAGUGGGGAAUAUUGGGCAAUGGGCGCAAGCCUGACCCAGCCAUGCCGCGUGAGUGAUGAAGGCCUUCGGGUCGUAAAGCUCUGUGGGGAGGGAAGAAACCGGACGUGGAUAAUACCCACGGCUCUUGACGGUACCUCCUUAGCAAGCACCGGCUAACUCCGUGCCAGCAGCCGCGGUAAUACGGAGGGUGCAAACGUUGCUCGGAAUCAUUGGGCGUAAAGCGCACGUAGGCGGCCUGUUAAGUCGGGUGUGAAAGCCCUGGGCUCAACCCAGGAAGUGCACUCGAAACUGGCGGGCUUGAAUAUGGAAGAGGGUCGCGGAAUUCCCGGUGUAGAGGUGAAAUUCGUAGAUAUCGGGAGGAACACCAGUGGCGAAGGCGGCGACCUGGGCCAAUAUUGACGCUGAGGUGCGAAAGCGUGGGGAGCAAACAGGAUUAGAUACCCGUGUAGUCCA